AACGAACGCUGGCGCGUGGAUAAGACAUGCAAGUCGAACGAAGUGACUUCGGUCACUUAGUGGCGCACGGGUGAGUAACACGUGAGUCAUCUGCCCCUGAGACAGGGAUAGCCCCGGGAAACUGGGAUUAAUACCUGAUGGUCUCGCAAGAGUAAAGUAGCAAUACGCUCAGGGAGGAGCUCGCGUCCUAUUAGUUAGUUGGCGGGGUAACGGCCCACCAAGGCGAUGACGGGUAGCCGGUCUGAGAGGAUGUCCGGCCACACUGGAACUGAGACACGGUCCAGACACCUACGGGUGGCAGCAGUCGAGAAUCAUUCACAAUGGGCGAAAGCCUGAUGGUGCGACGCCGCGUGGGGGAAGAAGGUCUUCGGAUUGUAAACCCCCUGUCAUGUAGGAGCAAGACGCAAGUUUGAUAGUACUACAAGAGGAAGAGACGGCAAACUCUGUG
This 448-nucleotide ribosomal RNA is filed under the name uncultured bacterium. RNAcentral describes it as "bacterial SSU rRNA". It matches the Rfam family "Bacterial small subunit ribosomal RNA", at positions 29 to 507 of the family's 1533-position model. The record is from RNAcentral.